This 253-nucleotide ribosomal RNA is filed under the name uncultured bacterium. RNAcentral describes it as "partial 16S ribosomal RNA". It matches the Rfam family "Bacterial small subunit ribosomal RNA", at positions 524 to 776 of the family's 1533-position model. The record is from RNAcentral.
UACGAAGGGGGCUAGCGUUGUUCGGAAUUACUGGGCGUAAAGCGCGCGCAGGCGGUCUUCCAAGUCAGUGGUGAAAGCCCGGAGCUCAACUCCGGAAAUGCCAUUGAAACUGUAAGACUUGAGGAUGAGAGAGGUGAGUGAAAUUCCCAGUGUAGAGGUGAAAUUCGUAGAUAUUCGCAAGAACACCAGUGGCGAAGGCGGCUCACUGGCCCGGUACUGACGCUUAGGUGCGAAAGCGUGGGGAGCAAACAGG